UCAUGGCUCAGGAUGAACGCUGGCGGCGUGCCUAAUACAUGCAAGUCGAACGAACUUCCGUUAAUUGAUUAUGAGGUGCUUGCACUGAAUGAGAUUUUAACACGAAGUGAGUGGCGGACGGGUGAGUAACACGUGGGUAACCUGCCCAGAAGCAGGGGAUAACACCUGGAAACAGAUGCUAAUACCGUAUAACAGAGAAAACCGCCUGGUUUUCUUUUAAAAGAUGGCUCUGCUAUCACUUCUGGAUGGACCCGCGGCGCAUUAGCUAGUUGGUGAGGUAACGGCUCACCAAGGCGAUGAUGCGUAGCCGACCUGAGAGGGUAAUCGGCCACAUUGGGACUGAGACACGGCCCAGACUCCUACGGGAGGCAGCAGUAGGGAAUCUUCCACAAUGGACGCAAGUCUGAUGGAGCAACGCCGCGUGAGUGAAGAAGGGUUUCGGCUCGUAAAGCUCUGUUGUUAAAGAAGAACGUGGGUGAGAGUAACUGUUCACCCAGUGACGGUAUUUAACCAGAAAGCCACGGCUAACUACGUGCCAGCAGCCGCGGUAAUACGUAGGUGGCAAGCGUUAUCCGGAUUUAUUGGGCGUAAAGCGAGCGCAGGCGGUCUUUUAAGUCUAAUGUGAAAGCCUUCGGCUCAACCGAAGAAGUGCAUUGGAAACUGGGAGACUUGAGUGCAGAAGAGGACAGUGGAACUCCAUGUGUAGCGGUGAAAUGCGUAGAUAUAUGGAAGAACACCAGUGGCGAAGGCGGCUGUCUGGUCUGUAACUGACGCUGAGGCUCGAAAGCAUGGGUAGCGAACAGGAUUAGAUACCCUGGUAGUCCAUGCCGUAAACGAUGAUUACUAAGUGUUGGAGGGUUUCCGCCCUUCAGUGCUGCAGCUAACGCAUUAAGUAAUCCGCCUGGGGAGUACGACCGCAAGGUUGAAACUCAAAAGAAUUGACGGGGGCCCGCACAAGCGGUGGAGCAUGUGGUUUAAUUCGAAGCUACGCGAAGAACCUUACCAGGUCUUGACAUCUUCUGCCAACCUAAGAGAUUAGGCGUUCCCUUCGGGGACAGAAUGACAGGUGGUGCAUGGUUGUCGUCAGCUCGUGUCGUGAGAUGUUGGGUUAAGUCCCGCAACGAGCGCAACCCUUAUUACUAG
RNAcentral lists this ribosomal RNA (1143 nucleotides) under Pediococcus acidilactici. Its description in RNAcentral is "bacterial SSU rRNA". It matches the Rfam family "Bacterial small subunit ribosomal RNA", at positions 17 to 1114 of the family's 1533-position model. Lineage: Bacteria; Bacillati; Bacillota; Bacilli; Lactobacillales; Lactobacillaceae. The record is from RNAcentral.